Rhagoletis zephyria (snowberry fruit fly) is the source of this 333-nucleotide long non-coding RNA. RefSeq lists it as uncharacterized. The record is from RefSeq and is a predicted model, not a curated record. NCBI's taxonomy places the organism in Eukaryota, Metazoa, Arthropoda, Insecta, Diptera, Tephritidae.
CGCAUCAGAUGCUAUUUACUCGGUUAUAAUUAAGCAUACAAAGCGAGGAGAGUUUGCUCAUAUGAGACCGGCCAGUUUUAAUAGACUGUUUUGUGAGUAUUCGCACCAGUAUGAGUGUGAAAAUCUCGGAGGGCGCACCAGUUCGCCUCCAAACCCAAACUGAACGAACUGGUGCUUGUGUCUACAAUGAGAUGACAAAGAAACAAAAUAAGCUAUUAUUACUCACCCAAAAAAAAAGGCAAGAACGAAGCUUUCAAUGCAAAAGUUAAUACACUCCAGGCAUAACUAUGGACAGAUGCGGGUUGUGCAAAAACUGAAGGACAUUUGCUGUCG